AGCCUUCAAUUCAGUGAUGAUUGGGUGUUCAUUCAUGCCAGGUGCAUGAAACGUGCCUCCCUCAAACCUUGUUACAGUGUUGUCACAUUACCCUGUCUGAUG
Small nucleolar RNA from Octodon degus (degu), 102 nucleotides. RefSeq annotates it as small nucleolar RNA U13. The record is from RefSeq and is a predicted model, not a curated record. The transcript has a single exon. NCBI's taxonomy places the organism in Eukaryota, Metazoa, Chordata, Mammalia, Rodentia, Octodontidae.